CAGUAGCCGCGGUAAUACGGAGGGUGCAAGCGUUAUCCGGAUUUAUUGGGUUUAAAGGGUCCGUAGGCGGACUUAUAAGUCAGUGGUGAAAGCCUGUCGCUUAACGAUAGAACUGCCAUUGAUACUGUAAGUCUUGAGUAUAUUUGAGGUAGCUGGAAUAAGUAGUGUAGCGGUGAAAUGCAUAGAUAUUACUUAGAACACCAAUUGCGAAGGCAGGUUACCAAGAUAUAACUGACGCUGAGGGACGAAAGCGUGGGUAGCGAACAGGAUUAGAUACCCGGUAGUCCCUGUCUCUUAUACA
This 301-nucleotide ribosomal RNA is filed under the name uncultured bacterium. Its description in RNAcentral is "partial 16S ribosomal RNA". It matches the Rfam family "Bacterial small subunit ribosomal RNA", at positions 509 to 808 of the family's 1533-position model. The record is from RNAcentral.